Molecule: ribosomal RNA, 250 nt
Filed under: uncultured bacterium
Lineage: Bacteria
Description: partial 16S ribosomal RNA
Rfam family: Bacterial small subunit ribosomal RNA
Source: RNAcentral
UACGUAGGUGGCGAGCGUUGUCCGGAAUUACUGGGUGUAAAGGGCGUGUAGGCGGGGAUACAAGUCAGAUGUGAAAUACCGGUGCUUAACACCGGGGCUGCACCUGAAACUGUAUUUCUUGAGUGUCGGAGAGGGAAGUGGAAUUCCCAGUGUAGCGGUGAAAUGCGUAGAUAUUGGGAGGAACACCAGUGGCGAAGGCGACUUUCUGGACGGCAACUGACGCUGAGGCGCGAAAGCGUGGGGAGCAAAC